RNAcentral lists this transfer RNA (87 nucleotides) under Candidatus Uhrbacteria bacterium. RNAcentral's name for it is "tRNA-Leu". It matches the Rfam family "tRNA". From Rfam's summary of the family: Transfer RNA (tRNA) molecules are approximately 80 nucleotides in length. The record is from RNAcentral. Lineage: Bacteria; Candidatus Uhriibacteriota.
GCUGCGGUGGCGAAACUGGCAGACGCACUAGCUUCAGGAGCUAGCGGAGGCAACUCCAUGAGGGUUCAAGUCCCUCCCGCAGCACCA